UGCAUGCAGGCUGAACGUCCUCGUCCUCGGAGGAGACUCUGGCUUCGUGGAGCUGUUUGCGUACGGGAUGUACAAGAUCGCCACUCUGACCGGGGUGUCAGGAAGCUGCCGCAGCCUCAGUCUCUCUGGAGACCUGAAGUCUCUCUCCGUCAUCACAGAGGUCAAAUCUGCUGAGGACCAGCUUCAGAUCUGCUACCUGCAGUUGGACACUUGUCUCCUCUCUGAUAUUAACCUCCUGUCUCC
Notothenia coriiceps (black rockcod) is the source of this 243-nucleotide long non-coding RNA. RefSeq lists it as uncharacterized. The transcript is spliced from 3 exons. NCBI's taxonomy places the organism in Eukaryota, Metazoa, Chordata, Actinopteri, Perciformes, Nototheniidae. The record is from RefSeq and is a predicted model, not a curated record.